RNAcentral lists this transfer RNA (75 nucleotides) under Candidatus Hydrogenedentota bacterium. RNAcentral describes it as "tRNA-Cys". It matches the Rfam family "tRNA". Rfam says of the family: Transfer RNA (tRNA) molecules are approximately 80 nucleotides in length. Their secondary structure includes four short double-helical elements and three loops (D, anti-codon, and T loops). The record is from RNAcentral. Lineage: Bacteria; Pseudomonadati; Candidatus Hydrogenedentota.
GGCGGCAUAGCCAAGUGGUAAGGCGGAGGCCUGCAAAGCCUUUAUACUCCGGUUCGAAUCCGGAUGCCGCCUCCA